GCCGACGUAGCUCAGUUGGUAGAGCGCCGACCUUGUAAGUCGGGGGUCAUCGGUUCGAUCCCGAUCGUCGGCU
Molecule: transfer RNA, 73 nt
Filed under: Vulcanimicrobiota bacterium
Lineage: Bacteria; Bacillati; Vulcanimicrobiota
Description: tRNA-Thr
Rfam family: tRNA
About the family: Transfer RNA (tRNA) molecules are approximately 80 nucleotides in length. Their secondary structure includes four short double-helical elements and three loops (D, anti-codon, and T loops).
Source: RNAcentral